AUUGAACGCUGGCGGCAGGCCUAACACAUGCAAGUCGAACGAGUGGCGGACGGGUGAGUAAUGUCUGGGAAACUGCCUGAUGGAGGGGGAUCACUACUGGAAACGGUAGCUAAUACCGCAUACCCUCGGAUGUGCCCAGAUGGGAUUAGCUAGUAGGUGGGGUAAAGGCUCACCUAGGCGACGAUCCCUAGCUGGUCUGAGAGGAUGACCAGCCACACUGGAACUGAGACACGGUCCAGACUCCUACGGGAGGCAGCAGUGGGGAAUAUUGCACAAUGGGCGCAAGCCUGAUGCAGCCAUGCCGCGUGUAUGAAGAAGGCCUUCGGGUUGUAAAGUACUUGCAGCGGGGAGGCGUUACCCGCAGAAGAAGCACCGGCGAACUCCGUGCCAGCAGCCGCGGUAAUUC
Molecule: ribosomal RNA, 406 nt
Filed under: uncultured bacterium
Lineage: Bacteria
Description: partial 16S ribosomal RNA
Rfam family: Bacterial small subunit ribosomal RNA
Source: RNAcentral